AGAACGAACGCUGGCGGCAUGCCUAACACAUGCAAGUCGAACGCUCACCGGGCUUCGGUUCGGUGGGAGUGGCGCACGGGUGAGUAGCGCGUGGGAACCUGCCCUGUUGUGGGGGAUAACCGAGGGAAACUUCGGCUAAUACCGCAUGCGCCCGGGGAAACCCGGGGAAAGAUUUAUCGCAGCAGGAGGGGCCCGCGUCGGAUUAGGUAGUUGGUAGGGUAACGGCCUACCAAGCCUUUGAUCCGUAGCUGGUCUGAGAGGAUGAUCAGCCACACUGGGACUGAGACACGGCCCAGACUCCUACGGGAGGCAGCAGUGGGGAAUAUUGGACAAUGGGCGCAAGCCUGAUCCAGCAAUGCCGCGUGAGUGAUGAAGGCCUUAGGGUUGUAAAGCUCUUUUGUGCGGGAAGAUAAGUGACGGUACCGACGAAGAAUAACGCCCCGGCUAACUUCGUGCCAGCAGCCGC
This 466-nucleotide ribosomal RNA is filed under the name uncultured bacterium. RNAcentral's name for it is "SSU rRNA". It matches the Rfam family "Bacterial small subunit ribosomal RNA", at positions 26 to 518 of the family's 1533-position model. The record is from RNAcentral.